UCGAGAGGCUUUGGCAAUGGGGGAAACCCUGACCAAGCGACGCCGCGUGGAGGAUGAAGGCCCUUGGGUUGUAAACUCCUUUUGUUGGGGAAGAAAUGCGACCAGGUAAAUAAUCUGGUCGUUUGACGGUACCCGACGAAUAAGCUCCGGCUAACUCCGUGCCAGCAGCCGCGGUAACACGGGGGGAGCAAGCGUUGUUCGGAAUCACUGGGCGUAAAGGGCGUGUAGGCGGUCGAGUGAGUGGAAUGUGAAAUGCCCCGGCUCACCCGGGGACCGGCAUUCCAUACUGCUCGGCUCGAGUAUGGGAGAGGAUGAGGGAAUUCCUGGUGUAGCGGUGAAAUGCGUAGAUAUCAGGAGGAACACCGGUGGCGAAAGCGCUCAUCUGGCCCAAUACUGACGCUGAGGCGCGAAAGCUAGGGGAGCAAACGG
Molecule: ribosomal RNA, 429 nt
Filed under: uncultured bacterium
Lineage: Bacteria
Description: bacterial SSU rRNA
Rfam family: Bacterial small subunit ribosomal RNA
Source: RNAcentral